This is a long non-coding RNA of Ruditapes philippinarum (Manila clam), 4386 nucleotides long. RefSeq lists it as uncharacterized. The record is from RefSeq and is a predicted model, not a curated record. The transcript has 2 exons. NCBI's taxonomy places the organism in Eukaryota, Metazoa, Mollusca, Bivalvia, Venerida, Veneridae.
AAUUUGAGCAGUUCAUAGUUAAACCCCUUGAAUAAAAUAAGUUCAUUGAAUAAAAUAAGUUCAUAGUUAACCCCCUUAAACACUAGCAUUUCAUAGUUAACCCCCUUGAAUACUAGCAGUUCAUAGUUAUCCCCCUUGAAUAUUAGCUGUCAUGUAACUAGAUAAUGCCAUAGUAAAGAGCAGAACCAACUGCCACAUCUGUGCAACCUGUCCUAAGAUUGUACACUGAUGGCUCCUUAAUUAAUUAAUUAAUUAAUUAAUUAAUUAAUCAAUCAAUUAAUUAAUUAAUUUAAAUUUAACUCAAUAACAUAUUGACUCCCUAUGAAAUAACAAUGGACAGUUCCUAAUUCAAAGCCAGAUGAGUCUAUUUCACAAAUUUAGCAGUGGAAGCAUUAAAAACUGAUUAUGUAACAAGAGUAUAAUGUUAUACUAAAAAUAAACAGCCAUGUGGAAAUGUAUAAUAUGUAUGUGUGUUGAUUGAUGUAGAUAGUGUAAAUAGAAUGUUUUUAUAUAAGAAAAAGUGCAAUCUCAAAAGUUAAAUAAUUUUAUGUGUCUUGUUUUUGUGUCUCUUGGAAAUUCUUGUUUUAAAUUAAAAGACUAUUAGCUGCUAUACACUUGUUAUAUAAUGAAUUGUUUUCUCCAUGAUUUUUCAUUUUGAACGUAAACUUCUUCCGAUUUUCAUAGAAAGUUGGAUACGCAAAAUCUCUGAAGAUUUGUUAAUAUUUUUAUGGUAUGUUUAAUAAUAAACCACUUUCUGAUUUUUGUAUAACAGGUUUUAUUAUAAAAAAAAAUUUGUAUAAAAUAAAGGCUCUAUCAAGAUUUGACAUUUAAACCUUAAGUUAAUAAAUGUAGCAUUUUUAUGCCACCGCAGCAUCUGCGAUGCGGUGGCAUAUAGCGAUUCACCUGUGUGUGUGUUUGUUUGUGUGUGUGUGUGUUAUAUAGAUUAUAUAGUGAACUUAAAAAAUCUUCUUGUGAAAAACCACUUGUCCAAUUUCAACCAAACUUGGCAGGAUUGAUCCUUGGGUGAAGGGCUUCCAAAGUUGUUCAAAGAAUUUCAUUCCAUGCAGAAAUCUGGUUGCCAUGGCAACCAAUAGGAAUUAUAAGAAUAAAUUUAAAAAAUCUUCUUGUAAAGACCCAAAAGGCCUAGAGCUUAGAUAUUUUGCAUAAGGCAUUGUCUGAUAGACCUCUACCAAGAUUGUUCAAAUUAUAACCCUGGGGUCAAAAUCGGCCCCGCCCCGGGGGUCAUUGAUUUUCACUAUAUGUACAUAUAGUAAAAACUUAAAAUAACUUCUUGUAAAGACCCAAAAGGCCUAGAGCUUAGAUAUUUUGUAUAAGGCAUUGUCUGGUAGACCUCUAUCAAGAUUAUUCAAAUUAUAACCCUGGGGUCAAAAUCGGCCCCGCCCCGGGGGUCAUUGAUUUUCACUAUAUGUACAUAUAGUAAAACUUAAAAUAACUUCUUGUAAAGACCCAAAAGGCCUAGAGCUUAGAUAUUUUGUAUAAGGCAUUCUCUGGUAGACCUCUACCAAGAUUAUUCAAAUUAUAACCCUUGGGUCAAAAUCGGCCCCGCCCCGGGGGUCAUUGAUUUUCACUAUAUGUACAUAUAGUAAAAACUUAAAAUAACUUCUUGUAAAGACCCAAAAGGCCUAGAGCUUAGAUAUUUUGCAUAAGGCAUUGUCUGAUAGACCCUUACCAAGAUUGUUCAAAUUAUAGCCCUGGGGUCAAAAUCGGCCCCGCCCCGGGGGUCAUUGAUUUUCACUAUAUGUACAUACCGGUAUAGUAAAAACUUAAAAUACCUUCUUGUAAAGACCCAAAAGGCCUAGAGCUUAGAUAUUUUGCAUAAGGCAUUGUCUGGUAGACCUCUACUCAGAUUGUUCAAAUUAUAGCCCUGGGGUCAAAAUCGUCCCUGCCCCGGGGGUCAUUGGUUUUCCUUAUAUGUAUAUAGUAAAAACUUUAUAGUAAAAAAAUUUCUUCUAGCAAAUGCUAGAGGUUAGAUAUUUUGCAUGAAACAUUGUGAAGUGAACUUCUAGCAAGAUUGUUCAAAUUAUAGCCCUGGGGUCAAAAUUGCCCCUGCCCCGGGGUCAUUGAUUUUCAAUAUAUACAUAUAGUAAAAAGUAAAAAAAUCUUAUUGUCUUAAGGUACAAGGCUUAGAGCUUGAAUAUUUGUUAAAUGAUAUCAUCUAUAGGUACUCUACCAAAGUUGUUCAAAUUUUGCGUCUUGUGUCAAAAUUAGCCCCGCCCCAUGGGCCAUAGGUUUUCCUUAUGUGUAUAUAGUAAAAACUUAAAAAAUCAUCUUCUCUAAAUUUACAAAGGCUAGAGUUAAGAUAUUUGGCAUGAAACAUUAUGUAGUGAACCUCUAGCAAGAUUGUACACAUUAUAGCCCAGGGGUCAAAAUUGGCCCCACCCCCAGGAGUCAUUGAUUUUCACUAUGUACAUAUAGUAAAAAAAAAAAAGAAAUAUUUUUGUCUGAAGGUACAAGGCAUAGAGCUUUGAUGUUUGCUCUAUAAUAUAUUCUAUGGGUUCUCUACUAAAGUUGUUUUAAUUAUGCCCCUAGUGUUAAAAUUGGCCCUGCCCAGGGGCAGUGAUUCUCAUUAUGUUCACAUAGUAAAAACAGAAAAUAAAACAAAUCUUUUCUGAAUAGGAGAAAGCUACAGCUUAGAUAUUUGACUUGAAAUGUUGUUUGGUGGACCUGUAUCAAGAUUGUUUUGAAUUAAACCCUUGGGUCCAAAAUUUUGCCUUGCCCAAGGGGACAGUGACCUACUUUCUUGUCCUUUGAUGUACAGCAAUGAAAUUUUGACCAUGUGCACAGUUUUAGUUGUAAAAUUGAACUUUGAUAUCAGGUGAACUAGAUUUUGAUGAUGUGACCUUCUUUCUUGUCCUUUGAUGUACAGCUAUGAAAUUUGAACCAUGUGUACAGAUUAAGAUGUUAAGUGAACUUUGAUUUCAGCUGACCUAGAUUUUGACAAAGUGUCUUACUAUGUUGUCCUUUGAUGUAGUCAUGAAAUUUAGGCUGUGUGAAAUAUGACCUUCACCACCAAAUUCACUAGACUCAAGUGCAUUGAUAUAUUCCUACUCUGAUCUUUUAUUGAGUUUAAACAACAGAUUUAACCACUAAUCUGAUAAUAAGAAUUAGAUAGGUCAGGGAUCUAUGCAUUAUGACAAUCUUCAAAAUUGUAUAGAAACAAAGAAAAUCUGUUCCGACACUACUAUUUAGUGUUGUAUUAAUGCGGUGGCAUAGCAUUUUUCUCAAAUGCAAUCUUGUUGUGUAUAAAAUUAUGGAAACAAGUUUUAUACCAGUCUUUUUAAGCUUUUUAUACAUCAUACACUGUUGGUAAAAUAUGAUGUUUUAGAUGAUAUUUAUUAUAUUUUUACAGUUGUUAAUCGAUAGAACAGUUAUUUCUGUAUAAAAUACACAAAUGUGUAACUUUCAUACCAGCUUAGUUCAUGUUUUUUAACAAAAUACAAACCAUAAAAUCUCUAUAUAUAUCGUUUUAAGUAAGGUAGUACAAAUGAGCCGCGUCAUGACAAAACCAACAUAAUGGGUUUGCGACCAGCAUGGAUCCAGACCAGCUUGUGCAUCCGCGCAGUCUGAUCAGGAUCCAUGCUGUCGCUAUCAGUUUCUCUACUUGUUAUAGGGUUGGUAAGCGAACAGCAUGGAUCCUGAUCAGACUGCGCGGAUGCGCAGGCUGAUCAAGGUCCAUGCUGGUCGCAAACCCAUUAUGUUGGUUUUGUCGUGACGCCGCUCAAAUUAUUAUGUAUACUAAUGCUCAUAACUUAUGAAAAUAAUAUUUUCAUUGCAUACAGUAUAGUAUACAAGUUCUGGAGGGUAUCAUGCUGCUUCUUGUAUGUAAUACAAAGUAAUUAUUUUAUAAUCUUAAAGUAAUCAUACUAAAGUAAAGUAAUAUUUUGGUAAUAUAAAGUGAUAUGAGAUAAUUAAUUGGUAAUUUUAAGUGAUAUGAGAUAAUAAUUUGCUAUUUCAAGAGCUACAAGGCAAUUAUUUGAUACAUUUAUGUGAUACAAUCCAUUUAAGUAAUACAAGGUAGUUAUAUGUUACAUGAAAAUAUCGUUUCAUAAAUUUAAAUGAUAUGAAGUAAUUAUUUCAUACAUUUAAGUGAUAUGAGGUGAAUUAUUUUGAGAACAUACAUCAGUUUAGCUUAUUGGGUAAGUCUACAUGAUUUAAGGUUUGUACAAUGUUAAGCAGUACCAUUAAUUAAAUGUUCAUGUAUAAAAUUUGUUUUGCACAGCAUGUAUAUAAUCAUUAGAGAAUACAGAAAGAAUGAUUGUAGAUAUUUACUCUAGAUAAUGUUACUCUUCACUAUGAUAAACAUGCUACAUUCUCAUAUAUGUACAUGGAGAAUAAAAAAUACAAACAGAAUGUCAAAUAUUACAA